RNAcentral lists this transfer RNA (71 nucleotides) under Typhlonectes compressicauda. RNAcentral's name for it is "tRNA-Ile". Lineage: Eukaryota; Metazoa; Chordata; Amphibia; Gymnophiona; Typhlonectidae. The record is from RNAcentral.
AGGCACGUGCCCGAAAGAUAAGGACCACACUGAUGCAGUGGAUAAUAAGAGUUCAAACCUCUUCGCAGCCU